This 385-nucleotide unclassified non-coding RNA is filed under the name uncultured bacterium. RNAcentral's name for it is "contains 16S-23S intergenic spacer region". The record is from RNAcentral.
UCCUGGUUUCCCAGGCAGUCCCAUCAGAGUGCCCCUUAAAAAGGGUUGCAACUGACGGCAGGGGUUGCGCUCGUUAUAGGACUUAACCCAACAUCUCACGACACGAGCUGACGACAGCCAUGCAGCACCUGUGCAUAUGUUCAAGGUUACCCUUGAAAAACUACAUCUCUGCAGCGAUCAUAUGCAUGUCAAACCUAGGUAAGGUUCCUCGCGUAGUGUCGAAUUAAACCACAUGUUCCACCGCUUGUGCGGACCCCCGUCAAUUCCUUUGAGUUUUAAUCUUGCGACCGUACUCCCCAGGCGGAUCACUUAACGCGUUAGCUACGACACUAAUCUCGCAGAGCGAGACUAACGUCUAGUGAUCAUCGUUUACAGCGUGGACUAC